GCAUGGGCGAAGCCUGAGGACAACACCGCGUGAAGGAUGAAGUGGUUCGCCAUGUAAUCUUCUUUUCUGAGGGAAGAGUUCUGACGGUACCUUAGGAAUAAGCACCGGCUAACUCUGUGCCAGCAGCCGCGGUAAGACAGAGGGUGCAAGCGUUAUCCGGAAUCACUGGGCGUAAAGCGUCUGUAGGCGAAACAGUAAGUCGGGGGUAAAAUCUCCAAGCUCAACUUGGAAUGCGUUCCCGAAACUACUGUUUUUGAAGAACGGAGAGGCAAGUGGAAUUCUGUGUGUAGGGGUAAAAUCCGUAGAUACACGGAGGAACACGAAGGGGGAAAGCAGCUUGCCAGCCGUCUCUUGACGCUGAGAGACGAAAG
Molecule: ribosomal RNA, 371 nt
Filed under: uncultured bacterium
Lineage: Bacteria
Description: bacterial SSU rRNA
Rfam family: Bacterial small subunit ribosomal RNA
Source: RNAcentral